UGACGACCGGCGCACGGGUGCGUAACGCGUAUACAAUCUACCUUAUACUGGGGUAUAGCCUUUAGAAAUGAAGAUUAAUCCCCCAUAGUCUCUUAUAGUGGCAUCACUUAAAGAGUAAAGGUUACGGUAUAAGAUGAGUAUGCGUUCUAUUAGUUUGUUGGUAAGGUAACGGCUUACCAAGACUGCGAUAGAUAGGGGCCCUGAGAGGGGGAUCCCCCACACUGGUACUGAGACACGGACCAGACUCCUACGGGAGGCAGCAGUGAGGAAUAUUGGACAAUGGAGGCAACUCUGAUCCAGCCAUGCCGCGUGUAGGAUGACUGCCCUAUGGGUUGUAAACUACUUUUAUACAGGAAGAAACACCUCUACGUGUAGAGGCUUGACGGUACUGUAAGAAUAAGGAUCGGCUAACUCCGUGCCAGCAGCCGCGGUAAUACGGAGGAUCCAAGCGUUAUCCGGAAUCAUUGGGUUUAAAGGGUCCGUAGGUGGAUAAUUAAGUCAGAGGUGAAAUCUUGCAGCUCAACUGUAAAAUUGCCUUUGAUACUGGUUAUCUUGAGUUAUUAUGAAGUAGUUAGAGUAUGUAGUGUAGCGGUGAAAUGCAUAGAUAUUACAUAGAAUACCAAUUGCGAAGGCAGAUUACUAAUAAUCAACUGACACUGAUGGACGAAAGCGUGGGUAGCGAACAGGAUUAGAUACCCUGGUAGUCCACGCCGUAAACGAUGGUUACUAGCUGUUUGGACCUUGUGUCUGAGUGGCUAAGCGAAAGUGAUAAGUAACCCACCUGGGGAGUACGUUCGCAAGAAUGAAACUCAAAGGAAUUGACGGGGGCCCGCACAAGCGGUGGAGCAUGUGGUUUAAUUCGAUGAUACGCGAGGAACCUUACCAGGGCUUAAAUGUAAGUUGCAUUAGUUAGAGAUAGCUAUUUCUUCGGACCACUUACA
RNAcentral lists this ribosomal RNA (941 nucleotides) under uncultured bacterium. RNAcentral describes it as "bacterial SSU rRNA". It matches the Rfam family "Bacterial small subunit ribosomal RNA", at positions 89 to 1035 of the family's 1533-position model. The record is from RNAcentral.